Molecule: ribosomal RNA, 986 nt
Filed under: Acinetobacter baumannii
Lineage: Bacteria; Pseudomonadati; Pseudomonadota; Gammaproteobacteria; Moraxellales; Moraxellaceae
Description: bacterial SSU rRNA
Rfam family: Bacterial small subunit ribosomal RNA
Source: RNAcentral
GGGGGGCGGCGGCUUACCAUGCAAGUCGAGCGGGGGAAGGUAGCUUGCUACUGGACCUAGCGGCGGACGGGUGAGUAAUGCUUAGGAAUCUGCCUAUUAGUGGGGGACAACAUCUCGAAAGGGAUGCUAAUACCGCAUACGUCCUACGGGAGAAAGCAGGGGAUCUUCGGACCUUGCGCUAAUAGAUGAGCCUAAGUCGGAUUAGCUAGUUGGUGGGGUAAAGGCCUACCAAGGCGACGAUCUGUAGCGGGUCUGAGAGGAUGAUCCGCCACACUGGGACUGAGACACGGCCCAGACUCCUACGGGAGGCAGCAGUGGGGAAUAUUGGACAAUGGGGGGAACCCUGAUCCAGCCAUGCCGCGUGUGUGAAGAAGGCCUUAUGGUUGUAAAGCACUUUAAGCGAGGAGGAGGCUACUCUAGUUAAUACCUAGGGAUAGUGGACGUUACUCGCAGAAUAAGCACCGGCUAACUCUGUGCCAGCAGCCGCGGUAAUACAGAGGGUGCGAGCGUUAAUCGGAUUUACUGGGCGUAAAGCGUGCGUAGGCGGCUUAUUAAGUCGGAUGUGAAAUCCCCGAGCUUAACUUGGGAAUUGCAUUCGAUACUGGUGAGCUAGAGUAUGGGAGAGGAUGGUAGAAUUCCAGGUGUAGCGGUGAAAUGCGUAGAGAUCUGGAGGAAUACCGAUGGCGAAGGCAGCCAUCUGGCCUAAUACUGACGCUGAGGUACGAAAGCAUGGGGAGCAAACAGGAUUAGAUACCCUGGUAGUCCAUGCCGUAAACGAUGUCUACUAGCCGUUGGGGCCUUUGAGGCUUUAGUGGCGCAGCUAACGCGAUAAGUAGACCGCCUGGGGAGUACGGUCGCAAGACUAAAACUCAAAUGAAUUGACGGGGGCCCGCACAGCGGUGGAGCAUGUGGUUAAUUCGAUGCACGCGAAAACCUUACUGGCUUGACUACUAGAACUUUCCAAGAUGAUGGUGCUUCGGAUCUAG